AAGUCGUAACAAGGUUUCCGUAGGUGAACCUGCGGAAGGAUCAUUAAAAGGUUUAUCUGGGGGUGGGUAAAACCCCCCUGGAAAACUCCACCCUUGUAUAUUAUUACUUGUUGCUUUGGUGGGCCGCGAGAUUGCCUAGCGAUUGAGCACCGGCUUCGGCUGGAGAGCGCCUGCCAGAGGACCAAACUCUGUUAUUUAUGGCGUCUGAUUACUAUUUAAUAGUUAAAACUUUCAACAACGGAUCUCUUGGUUCUGGCAUCGAUGAAGAACGCAGCGAAAUGCGAUAAGUAAUGUGAAUUGCAGAAUUCAGUGAAUCAUCGAAUCUUUGAACGCACAUUGCGCCCCUUGGUAUUCCGAGGGGCAUGCCUGUUCGAGCGUCAUUAUCACCCCUCAAGCCUAGCUUGGUGUUGAGGCCUGCUGUAAGGGCAGCCUCUAAAAUCAGUGGCAGUGCUGUCAGGCUCUAAGCGUAGUAAAAUUCAUCGCUAUAGACACCUGGUGGACACUCGCCAGAACCCCCCCAUUUUUUAAUGAUUGACCUCGGAUUAGGUAGGGAUACCCGCUGAACUUAAGCAUAUCAAUAAGCGGAGGAAAAGAAACCAACAGGGAUUGCCUCAGUAACGGCGAGUGAAGCGGCAAAAGCUCAAAUUUGAAAUCUGGCUCUUUUAGGGUCCGAGUUGUAAUUUGUAGAAGAUGUUUCGGGUGUGGCUCCGGUUUAAGUUCUUUGGAAUAUUACAUCAUAGAGGGUGAGAAUCCCGUAUGUGACCGGCAGCCUCCGCCUAUGUGAAACUCUUUCGACGAGUCGAGUUGUUUGGGAAUGCAGCUCAAAAUGGGAGGUAUAUUUCUUCUAAAGCUAAAUAUUGGCCAGAGACCGAUAGCGCACAAGUAGAGUGAUCGAAAGAUGAAAAGCACUUUGGAAAGAGAGUUAAACAGUACGUGAAAUUGUUGAAAGGGAAGCGCUUGCAACCAGACUUGCACGCAGUUGAUCAUCCGGUGUUCUCACCGGGGCACUCUGCUGCGUUCAGGCCAGCAUCGGUUUUGGUGGUUGGAUAAAGGCCUUGGGAAUGUGGCUUCCUUCGGGGAGUGAUAUAGCCCUCGGUGCAAUGCAGCCUACCGGGACCGAGGACCGCGCUUCGGCUAGGAUGCUGGCGUAAUGGUUGUAAGCGACC
This 1166-nucleotide ribosomal RNA is filed under the name uncultured fungus. RNAcentral describes it as "eukaryotic LSU rRNA". The stretch from base 533 to 1166 matches the Rfam family "Eukaryotic large subunit ribosomal RNA", at positions 1 to 649 of the family's 3401-position model. Lineage: Eukaryota; Fungi. The record is from RNAcentral.